GGUCAACAACCUUACAGGUCGGCCCCUACAAAAAAAGGUCAAUUACUGACAGGUGGGACCCACGUCAAACGGUCCAGUACCGACAGGUGGGCCCACAUCAAAGGUUAAGUGCUUACUUGUGGGGCCCGCUAGCAAACCAACAAUCCCCAGACAACAUCUUUAAACACCCCCAUUUGACUUUUAUGCAUUUUCACCCAGACAGAGCACUUCAUGAGCCAGCGUGCCAUCGAGUGAUUCGCUUCGUCCAUUACAGUCUUCAGCGCCAUUUUUCAUGUUUCCAUGCGCUUCAACGGUUUCCAUAAGCAAUUAUCUCGGCAUCGAAAGCCCUGCUGCUGCUGUUCGCCCGAGCCGCCCGCUCAGCUGCGGCGGCCACAUAUCGCGUCGCCAGCUUGGCUGAGCGGAGGGCCCUCUCUCCGGGUCCGGGUCCGGCCGCCGCCGUACCUACCCACGGCACGGCCGCUCCAUCAUCAAAAGGUGGUGGCAUGGUGGAGUUUAUGCCAAAGGAGGAGGACCUUGAGUCAGACGAAGCCGUGUGGCGCCUGUAUGAGCGCUGGUGCAAGGAUUUCAACCAGAAGCGUGAGCCUGACGAGAUGGCUCGCCGGUUCAACAAGUUCAAGAACAGGGUGUUGCGUGUCCGCGACAUGAACAAUUCCAAUGCUGAUAAUCCUCAGGUCAUACAAGAUGGGGCUGACCAAGUUCACUGACGGGAAGCUGGCGGAGAUGCGUGCCAAUCGUGAUACGCUUGCGGUGAAGCUUGCGGAGAAGUUUCCUGGGCCAGUAUGUCGUCGUCGCAGAGGCGAGGACAAGUAUUUGAGGGAAGUCUACGCUGAUUUUGACGUGGUUAACGGGAAACUCUUCGUCUUCUUUCCUGUGGAGAAGGGGGAAGGCGGCGUCGGAUAUCGUAAGAAGGAGGUCUCUACUGAGCAUGAAGUUCUUUCUGGCAGAUUGUUUGUUGCAGAUCUACCUGAUGAAGGGUCUGAGCUGUUCGUCGUAAAUCCAGAGAUACUGGGGCGCCGCUUGAUCCCAGGCUACCUCCACUACUCCCUCGGAUUCUAAAUUGUCGUUGAAAUAUUACAUGUAUCUAGACGCUUUUUAAUAAUAGAUACAUUCAUAUUUAGACAAAUUUGAGUCAAGAAUUUAAGAUCAGAGAAAGUAAUUUAGGUGUACGGUGACUAUCCUUGUGUGCACUUUUACCAAGUUGUUCCUUUUGCCGAAGAAUGCAUAUGUACUAAUGCUUUUGGAAGGAAGGCAUGCAUCUAGGUAAUAAAUCAAUUCUGUGUAA
Long non-coding RNA from Brachypodium distachyon (stiff brome), 1282 nucleotides. RefSeq lists it as uncharacterized. Lineage: Eukaryota; Viridiplantae; Streptophyta; Magnoliopsida; Poales; Poaceae. The transcript is spliced from 2 exons. The record is from RefSeq and is a predicted model, not a curated record.